This is a long non-coding RNA of Parus major (Great Tit), 1608 nucleotides long. RefSeq lists it as uncharacterized. NCBI's taxonomy places the organism in Eukaryota, Metazoa, Chordata, Aves, Passeriformes, Paridae. The record is from RefSeq and is a predicted model, not a curated record. The transcript is spliced from 6 exons.
CUUUCCCAUUUUGUUUAUCCCUUGCUGGGUUUUGAAGGAGCCUGUAAACAUCUGGGGGGAUUACAUCUGGUUUGGGUUCUGCCUGAAAUUCCUGGGAGUUUCGUUCAGUUGAGCGUUAGAACGAAACCAGCAGCUCCCCUGGCAGGUUCUGCCUCGGGAUUUUCCAAAAAUAAACUGUGCAUCCCCACACUUCCCCCUCUGACACUUCCCUGAGUUUCCAUGGAAGUUUCCUUGUGUGGCAAACAGCUCAAUGAACCUCGAGUUCAGUGAUUCCCUUUUAUUUUCUAUAUUGUAAAAGGUUGAAUGUCUUCAUUUUCCUGCCAGAAAAUCGGCUUUGUAGGAAUAUUCCAUUAAAAACCUUGGAAUGUUUUUGCAUGGAUCGACAGUUUUCCAUGCUGAUCCUUUCUUUGAGAUAAAAUUCAGUGAUAGGAAGUGGUUGAAUGUUUUGAGGUGGGGUUUUUGUGUUUGGUUUUGGUUUUAUUUUGGGAUUUACCUGUGUCAUUCCCUGCUCCAAUCCCAGCUCUGCACUGCACAGGUGUCCUUGGAUUUGAUUUGAGAUCCCUCAGGCUCUGGGCUCCAAGUCCAGAUCUUUGCAGCUUUAAUCCAUGUGCAAAUCCAUCAAGCUGAGGUCCCUGAGAUUUUGGUGGGUGCUGACCAGACAGACCCUUCCAGCAGAAGGAGGGUUAACUCCUGGAGAAAGGGGGUGGAGAGGGAAUCCCAGCUUGGAACUUGAGACUUUCCAGCUGAGAAAGAAAGAUUUGGAGAUGCAGACGUAAUCCCAGAGCUCUGCAAUCAGCUCCCUGUCAAAGGAAGUCGGGAAAAGCACAAGGAAAACUGGCCAGGCGCGCUGGGUGCAGGGCAGGACACAGAGCAGCAGUGCCACCACCUCCUCCAGGGAAUUUGUGCUGUUCCACUUGGAAAAACAGGAUUCCCUUCAGGAAACUCCCUCAGGAGUGAGAGAUCUGAGAGCUCUCAGCCCCCAGGGCCUCCAGGCAGGAUUAUUGACUGCACACUGUGGGAAUUCACCUCCUGAACACCUGCACCAGGAGAGUGGAGCCUGCCUGGUUUUCCCUGGAUUUGGGAGUGUUUUCCAGCGGGAUGGAUGGAGUGUGUCCCGAGGUGGAGGAAUGUGUGUUAAAUAAACAGCCAGCCUGGGCCCUGCUCACGGAAGAUCCCAGGCAUUGGCAAACCAGGGUGGGAAGGGCUGGUGCUGCACCUCGGCUUCUCCUGUUCAUUGAUUAUGAAAAGUCUUUGCUCCGAGCUCGGUGCUGACUCCAAAGUGGAAAGGCAGCGCUGAUCCCACUGUCCCGACCAAGGGAGGCACCAGAAUCUUGGGAUAUUCCAUCUGGGUAGCCCAGCUGGUGCCACAGGGUGCAGGGCUCAGAGCUCUGAAUUUCUCGUGACACCAGAAUUAUCUCCUGACAUUGUACCUGCACGCAAAGGCUGCAGCAGCAAUUCCACGUUCUUAUAAUCCCCCUGCUCGGAUAAAAAUCAGAUGGGAACAAAUGUGCAGCACACGAGGACUAAAGACUUUUAUUACAAUAUCUUUUUAAUUAUCAAGGUGGGGAAUCACGUUUUACAAAGUCCAAUAAAUUGAAUUUUAUUAUG